This 1716-nucleotide long non-coding RNA is filed under the name Anas platyrhynchos platyrhynchos (common mallard). Its description in RNAcentral is "lncRNA (ENSAPLG00000026372.1)". The record is from RNAcentral. Lineage: Eukaryota; Metazoa; Chordata; Aves; Anseriformes; Anatidae.
UUUGGAAAGAAGCUUUGAAGGACUUUUUUUCUUCAGUUUUUCCUGCAAGGACAGUGAAGUGUCAGCAUUCUUGGCUGAACUUCAGCUGUUCCUUAACAAGUCUCCACAAGACAGCUGUGCCUUGCCACAUAUCCUUCCUUUACUUUCUUGUCAAGGCCUGAUGCCUCUUCUAGAGCAAAAAAUAAAAUAAAUCCUCUACUCCCUGAACACAAUACUGUUUCCAAAAUAUUAGCUGUUUGCUUUCUUCAAAGCAAAUGCAACUCGCUAAGUGACUUUUUGGACAAAUAUUGACACAAUUAAGUUCCUUGCAGUUUUCACCCUUCAGUGUGUCUGACUAAACCUAUACUGCAACAUAAUGACUAAUUUUGUAAAGUGUAAUGUAAACACCGUUGUGGUUCUUGUUUUUAUCUGUGUUUACCUUUGACAACCCAGCCAUAAACAUGGAUUUAAAAGGUUCUGAAAGAGCACUGUUUCUUGUUGCUGCAGUUUGUUUGCUAAAAUAGCCUGCCUUUCUUAUUAGGGUACUUUUAUUUUUUUCCUUGCGAAUCCUUGGGCAGAUUUCAAAGCAUCCAGUUUCCCUGUGUUCAACAAAUAAAUAAAUAAAUAGUCAUGGGACUGCCCUCAUCAUUUCUGAGCCCUUUUUCUUCAUGGUUCCUCUUUACAGUUUCAGGCACUGAUUUCUGUCGGGUAAAAUAAAUGUUUGCCGUUAAAUAAUUGAAGGGUUUUUAUUUUCUGAUUCUUGCGUGGGGUUUUUCUGUUUGUUCUUCUUAAACAGAUAGAUAGCAAGCAGGUAGAUAGCACUGAAAGUAGAGACUCCUUUCCACCAGGCCCUUUUCCUCUGUAUUCUGUUUUCCAAACACACGCAGGCUUUCACAGUUCUGCAUGCUUUCAGUGUUCAGGAAUUUAUUAUUUUAUAUUAAUAAGGCCUUUUGCUAAUUUUCCAAUUGCAAACAUUCUCAGCACAAAGGAAUGCUGCAAACAGCUUGCCUCAAGCCAUGCAGUCACAAAAAGUCUUCAGCUCCCAGGAGAAGGUCUGUACGACUGCAAAUACUCCUCAUGACUCUCAGAUCUCAUUACUGGGAAGCCACCUUCUCCUGUGCAGGAAAAGGAAAGGAGCUGACAGACUCAACACAACAAGCUUCUCUGACCAGCAACAGCAUGGGAGGACUAAAAACCCAGGCUCACGGGCCCUGAAUCGCUCUGCUCUGAAUCAGGGGAAGGGACUGAACCUGGGGCUGCAGUAGACUGGUGGCUGCUCCUUCAGCUUAGAGGUUGACUUUCCUUCAGCAAGAUAACCAGGGAUUUCCCCAGCAAGGACAGCAGUGGACUGAGCCUGCCCAAAAGUGCCAGAGCAGCAGCCCAGACCUGGUAAGAACCUGUGCACAGACUGCUUUUGGGAGACUGCAAAUCACUGCCUGAGAUCAAGGUGUUAGGACAUCUGCUUGCCCUCAGCUCUCUGCCCUUCUCCCCGUCAGGACAGCAACAGCAGAAGCCCCGUCUGCAGAGAUUUAUUGUGUCAGAGGGUGGUUUUGUCUGUUUUCUCUCCCAGCUCGCCGGGCUUAACCUUUUGACCAUCCUUCAGCCUGCCUCAUAAUGUGCCUAUUUUAUCGACAAUUGCAGUUAAAAUGGAAGGCAGUUUGGCCAAUCCUGCUGGCUGCCGCUUUGAAAAUUUUGUCGUGACCUUGUUUGUGUCCUUAAUUCUUGCUGGAGAUGCUC